GAUGGCUCAGAGCCAGUGCCAAGGGCCUCGCUCCGACACUCACCUGAGGACACGUGGGGAAGCAGGCAGAGGGAGGAGGUGGCCCCACCCACUCCUGCAGGUGGACUUGCUUCUCCUCAGUCCUCACCCUCUGGCUUCUGCACAUAAGUGUGAGUGACUCCUUACUGCCGUCCAGGCAGCCUGGGGGCUACGAGGGGCUUCAGAGGUCCUCAUCCCCAGCCUGUAGGCCUGGCCAUACUGGACCCAUGAGAUCAGCCACCCUGUCAGCUGGUACCUCGGGGUCCUACAGUCCUCCUCGCUCAAGCCCUGGUCCUCUAACUCGGAGGUGAUGAGGUGUUGGGCUGGAAGAGACAGGCAGCCAGAUGAUUCCAAUGUACAGCCAAUGAUGAGCAGCUGCUGGGCUGAAGGGACUGGGGCCAUUUUAUACCAGUUGUAGGAUGUUACACAGAAAUGCCUGAAAAGCAAGGAGCAGCUAUCAGAAUGUUUGGUGACACAGCUCCUCCUGUCGUGGUUCCUUCGGCAUGGACUUCACAUUCAGCAGAUCCAUGAGGUGUUCCCUUUCGGAUGAGCUCCAAGGUCUUAAGAGAGCAUCUCUAGUCUGCGUGAGUCCGUCUGAACGACGGUCCUGAGCAAGAACCACCUAUAACCAUCUGCUCAAAAUAACUCAGGGGAAGUCAAAGCUUUCUAUGUGGAAGGUGACUGAAACCACAUACACAGACCACUGCAGCAUUCCUGACAUUAUGGAACUUGGAAAUGAUUCCAAACAUGGCCAUAGCUUGAGUAACAUGUUUUGCUAUGACAAGAACUUGGACUGUAGUCCUUCCCCCUCUCAAGAAUGUGACAUCACACCUUAUCAGAUCCUACGAGUGAGCUACUGACCUCAACCACUGAACUUCAAACUAUGUAAAAACCUAAGGGUUCGACAGACACUUUGAGAGCUUGGGCUGUGGCAAGCUACACUCUGUCAGCCUCUCUUCGACAGGGCCCCACCCUGCUAGCCUUUGAACUUGGAAGCAUCGCCCACAAACACCAGUGCCACCCUCUAGCCUUGAGGGACCAUAUAUGUCUCUGUGAAUCUCCGUUGCAUUGGACAGCUUCUCUCCCAAGAGCUGCUCUUAUAAAAGAGACACACCACAUUUUAAUGAGGCUUCGCUCUCCACAGAGGCCUGCUUCCAUCCUAAUUGAGCAAGUAGACUUUAGUAACUUUGGAACUCACUCACCCCGUGACUAAUACACCCUGUCUACCCAGCGCAUUCCCUGUGAGAUUUGUUCAUGUUGUUCUCCCCCUCCUUAAGCAUUGUGAACCUAGGAAAAAUAUCAUCUCUGUAGGGCAAUAAACCAUGUGAUUUGUGAAAUCAUACUUUGAGCAUCUCCUAAUUUUAACCAUACACAAUGCCUGAGAACUGGGAAAUGAAGAAAGGAGGAAUUGGAUCUAAAAAUGUGUUUAACAAAGUAUAAACGCCAUAGAUAUCCAACAACAGGGUGCCUGGACAGAUAAACAGAGGCAGGCUACCUCUUCCAAAUGUCAUAGACUACACAAUACAUAGAAAGAGGGUCAUGGGAUUAUAUGAGGUAAAAAGAGGCCAUAAUGCGGAAGGAGGAGAAUCGCUGGUUUACAAGACGGUGCAGAGUCUCCCACAGAGAGCAUCUGUUUGGCCCAGUACUAGGAGGCCUCUUUGGUGUGAAAUGUGAAGCCCCCAGGGAAUGGCCCUGAUGGGCUAAAAUGUGAAGAAGGGGGAUGGCUACUGAAUUAAAAGAAGUAGCAGGAAUUUGAGAGACUGGGGGCUGGCAGCUGGAGGAGGCAGGAGCUGCCCAGUAGGACAUCCAGGCAUCGAGCAAGUGUCUGUGAAGGAGCAUUCAUGGAGGAUUCCUCACGCCAGAGUCUUGGAGGAGGAAAGAGCCAGGCUUAAUCUUGGUCUCUCCUGUCUCUGUGGAAGCCUGAAUUCCCCUCGGUUUAUGAGGUAAAGAAUAGCUGGUCUCCUUCACAUGCUUUCCCGACCCUAUCCUGGAUAAACUGAGGCAGGAAGGCAUCUGCUUUCUACUCCAGUGAUGUUGCGGCCGGGAUGCCUUCUGGGGAACUCGAAUGCUGCAGGCAGAGGGGCUAGUUUCUGAAUUGCUUGUGACAUGUUUGGCUACCAGUGACCAAAGUCCUCUAUGGCUGGCAUUCUUUAGUUUAAAGAAUCGAGGGUGUCUCUUAAACCAGGGAUGAGGGCCUUGGAAACCUUCCAAAAAUUUUUAUACAACGCGGGUACAUACAACUUUUUACAAAUAUGAAAUCAUACUGUACAUCCUUUCUUUUGUGACCUAUUUUCAUUCAAUAACAUUUUACAGUUUUCAUGUUAAUAAACCUAGCUGUACAUUACUGGUACAUACUAGUUACUGGUACAUUGACAUUUAUGACCAGUUGUGUUUCCAUGGUAAGGUUGUGUCAGAGCUGGAUGCAUGUGCCCUGUUGUUGGAUAUUUAUCUUAUUUGUCAUUUUUGCGUUGAAACAACGCUAUGAAUGAAUAGUGUUGUAAAUGCGUCUGGACUGAUCGUCUCUACUGGAU
RNAcentral lists this long non-coding RNA (2549 nucleotides) under Homo sapiens (human). Its description in RNAcentral is "HSALNT0302292". The record is from RNAcentral. Lineage: Eukaryota; Metazoa; Chordata; Mammalia; Primates; Hominidae.